CGGGGUGUCAGUGCGGGCAAGUUGCAUGGAAAUGCACGCCGUGGAGGGUGAGAGCCCCGUCCAACCCACACAGGACACGCCGUACGAGAGCGUUUCAGGCGAGUCGGGUAGCUUGGGAAUGCUGCUCUAAUCGGUGGUAAAUCUCAUCGAAGGCUAAAUAGCGGCUGGAGACCGAUAGCGAACAAGUACCGUGAGGGAAAGAUGACAAGCACUUUGAAAAGAGGGUGAAAAGAGCCUGAAACCGUCAUGGGGGAAGCGGAUCGCGUUGGCCUGGUGGGCGCCUGUGUGUUCAGCCUUCGGGUGCAUUGGCACAGGUGCUUAUCCGCUGUGGGUUUUCGGGGGUCGAUUUUGGAUCCCUGGAGGCUGAGGGCUCCCUUCGGGUGAGGACAGCGGAGUGACGACGCGAUACGACCCGUCUUGAAACACGGACCAAGGAGUCUAGCGCGGGUGCGAGUCGGAGGGUGCAAGCCCGUGGGCGAAGUGAAAGCGAGUGUAAAAACGAGCAGUUUGGGGCGGCAUAAGAUCGUUGAUCUCAAGACCGACCCAGAGCAGUUGCGCUGGGACCCGAAAGAUGGUGAACUAUGCCGGAGUAGGGCAAAGCCAGAGGAAACUCUGGUGGAGGCUCGUAGCGGUGCUGACGUGCAAAUCGCUCGUCCAACUUGGGUAUAGGGGCGAAAGACUAAUCGAACCAUCUAGUAGCUGGUUCCCUCCGAAGUUUCUCUCAGGAUAGCGGGCCGACAAGUUGUUUUGUGCGGUAAAGCGAAUGAUUAGCGCACGUGGGGCCAUUUCGGCUUCAGGCGAUUCUCAAACUUUAAAUGCGCAAGGGUGUCGCUGCUUAAUUGAGCGGCACCGCUAAAAACGUCGGCCCUGUGGGCCACUUUUGGUAAGCAG
This 891-nucleotide ribosomal RNA is filed under the name Furcellaria lumbricalis. RNAcentral describes it as "eukaryotic LSU rRNA". It matches the Rfam family "Eukaryotic large subunit ribosomal RNA", at positions 165 to 1147 of the family's 3401-position model. The record is from RNAcentral. Lineage: Eukaryota; Rhodophyta; Florideophyceae; Gigartinales; Furcellariaceae.